This 218-nucleotide ribosomal RNA is filed under the name uncultured bacterium. RNAcentral describes it as "partial 16S ribosomal RNA". It matches the Rfam family "Bacterial small subunit ribosomal RNA", at positions 1283 to 1500 of the family's 1533-position model. The record is from RNAcentral.
CCAUCCCAGUUCGGAUCGCAGGCUGCAACCCGCCUGCGUGAAGUUGGAAUCGCUAGUAAUCGCGGAUCAGCAUGCCGCGGUGAAUACGUUCCCGGGCCUUGUACACACCGCCCGUCACACCAUGAGAGUCGGGAACACCCGAAGUCCGUAGCCUAACCGCAAGGGGGGCGCGGCCGAAGGUGGGUUCGAUAAUUGGGGUGAAGUCGUAACAAGGUAUC